Molecule: small RNA, 900 nt
Filed under: Rattus norvegicus (Norway rat)
Lineage: Eukaryota; Metazoa; Chordata; Mammalia; Rodentia; Muridae
Description: uncharacterized LOC108349515
Source: RNAcentral
CAGGUCAUGUAUCAAAGCAUUGGGAAGGUGAUUGGCUAACGCAGGCUUGACUCCAUAUAGCAGCUUGAAUCUAGCCUGGCUUUUCCUACACUCAACUCCAUUAUAUUUUAAUCACAAUUUUCUUCCUGCCAGCCUCACCUAUAAACCUCAGUUUAUGCCCUAACCCAAGCUGGCAUGAUUUGUUUUCUUAUAAUUCUGAUGUCUCUACACUCAUUUUAAUUUCUGCUCACCCCCUAUUGCUUUUAGAAGCUUUGCUCACUCCUGGGCCUCAGUUUCCAUCCAUCCACUUCUGGUCCCAUUCCAUGCCACACCCGUGAUCCAUUUCUGGUUUUCCUCACUAUUUCAGCGUCUAGUCUGGAAUACCGACCCACGAUCCCUGCCAGAUUUUCCAGCCUACCCACCGAUGCCUUCUCUUGGCAUCCUGCGAGACUUUCCACUAAAGCUAGCCCAGGGUUUCCUCACCUGCCCCCUGCCUGAUGCGGCUGGAGUCUGGAGGUGUCUCAGGCGCUGGAGACCCCGGGGUCGGGGGUUCCGGGAACAUGGCGUCGGGUUCCUGCGGUGCUUCCUGCAGAGGGCUUGAACCGGAAGUGGGCGCAAGCAGGCGUGGGAACCAGCAGACCACUGUUGCCCUGAGCUACCGCCAGGCUCCAAGCAGGGUGAUAGCAGUGCUGGUUGCUGAGCAACGAGCCUGUUGCCAAGACAACGGGAAGGACUGACGCACGGAAACGAAGUCCGGGCGGUGCCGGUGCAUGGGACCCAGGUCCCGGAUCCCGCGGCCGAGUGAGGGCGGCCUGUGAUCUGUGUAUCCAUUGCGGCUCCUCCCUCCGCAUUGGACCCCUUGCACCACCACUCUUGCUGGUAAAGUGGGGAACCUGCCCUGGAACCUCUGCUGUGCCUUCA